GGUGUAAAACGUCGUGAGACAGUUUGGUCCCUAUCUUCCGUGGGCGCUGCAAGAGUGAGAGAGCCUGCUCCUAGUACGAGAGGACCGGAGUGGACGCACCUCUGGUGUAUCGGUUGUCACGCCAGUGGCAUUGCCGAGUAGCUAAGUGCGGAAGAGAUAACCGCUGAAAGCAUCUAAGCGGGAAACUCGUCUCAAGAUGAGUCUUGCCGGGGCCUUGAGCCCCCUGAAGGGUCGUUCGAGACCAGGACGUUGAUAGGCUGGGUGUGGAAGCGCAGUAAUGCGUUAAGCUAACCAGUACUAAUUGCCCGUGAGGCUUGACCAU
RNAcentral lists this ribosomal RNA (322 nucleotides) under Klebsiella variicola. Its description in RNAcentral is "partial 23S ribosomal RNA". It matches the Rfam family "Bacterial large subunit ribosomal RNA", at positions 2608 to 2925 of the family's 2925-position model. The record is from RNAcentral. Lineage: Bacteria; Pseudomonadati; Pseudomonadota; Gammaproteobacteria; Enterobacterales; Enterobacteriaceae.